AAACUAAAAACCAAAGGAGGAGUGAAGAAGAAAGGGAAAAAACCAGCAGAAUAUGAUGUUUAUAGGGACCCUUCGUAUCAUGAGUAUGUUGAUAAGGCAUCUCAAUCUUCACAAAGGCAAUCUCAACCAUCACAGACUUCGAAGAAGUUAAAAUUAUCAAAGAAGCAACCACAAUUCAUUCUUCAAUUUCCUAAUCAUAUUAGGUCAUACAUUGAAGAUGUAGUUAAUGUUGAAUCAGAUGGUAAUUG
This 248-nucleotide long non-coding RNA is filed under the name Lathyrus oleraceus (garden pea). RNAcentral's name for it is "Pisum sativum (pea) long non-coding RNA (PSAT_LNC001922)". The record is from RNAcentral. Lineage: Eukaryota; Viridiplantae; Streptophyta; Magnoliopsida; Fabales; Fabaceae.